RNAcentral lists this ribosomal RNA (457 nucleotides) under uncultured bacterium. RNAcentral's name for it is "bacterial SSU rRNA". It matches the Rfam family "Bacterial small subunit ribosomal RNA", at positions 340 to 786 of the family's 1533-position model. The record is from RNAcentral.
UACGGGAGGCAGCAGUGGGGAAUAUUGCACAAUGGGCGAAAGCCUGAUGCAGCUAUGCCGCGUGUAUGAAGAAGGCCUUAGGGUUGUAAAGUACUUUCAUCGGGGAGGAAAAAACAAAACUAAUAAUUUUAUUUCUUGACGUUACCCGAAAAAGAAGCACCGGCUAACUCCGUGCCAGCAGCCGCGGUAAUACGGAGGGUGCUAGCGUUAAUCAGAAUUACUGGGCGUAAAGAGCACGUAGGUGGUUUUUUUAAGUCAGAUGUGAAAUCCCUGGGCUUAACCUGGAACUGCAUUUUGAAACUGAAAUACUAGAGUAUCGUAGAGGGAGGUAGAAUUCUAGGUGUAGCGGUGAAAUGCGUAGAUAUCUGGAGGAAUACCUGUGGCGAAAGCGGCCUCCUAAACGAAUACUGACACUGAGGUGCGAAAGCGUGGGGAGCGAAACAGGGAUUAGGAUACC